Molecule: ribosomal RNA, 333 nt
Filed under: uncultured bacterium
Lineage: Bacteria
Description: partial 16S ribosomal RNA
Rfam family: Bacterial small subunit ribosomal RNA
Source: RNAcentral
ACUACGGGUGGCAGCAGUCGAGAAUCAUUCACAAUGGGGGAAACCCUGAUGGGGCGACGCCGCGUGGGGGAAUGAAGGUCUUCGGAUUGUAAACCCCUGUCAUGUGGGAGCAAAUUAAAAAGAUAGUACCACAAGAGGAAGAGACGGCUAACUCUGGGCCAGCAGCCGCGGUAAUACAGAGGUCUCAAGCGUUGUUCGGAAUCACUGGGCGUAAAGCGUGCGGAGGCGGUUUCGUAAGUCGUGUGUGAACGGCGCGGGCUCAACCCGCGGACGGCACAUGAUACUGCGAGACUAGAGUAAUGGAGGGGGUACCGGAUUUCUCGGUGUAGCAGU